GCCUAAUACAUGCAAGUCGAGCGAACAGAUGAGAAGCUUGCUUCUCUGAUGUUAGCGGCGGACGGGUGAGUAACACGUGGGUAACCUACCUAUAAGACUGGGAUAACUCCGGGAAACCGGGGCUAAUACCGGAUAAUAUUUUGAACCGCAUGGUUCAAUAGUGAAAGACGGUUUCGGCUGUCACUUAUAGAUGGACCCGCGCCGUAUUAGCUAGUUGGUAAGGUAACGGCUUACCAAGGCGACGAUACGUAGCCGACCUGAGAGGGUGAUCGGCCACACUGGAACUGAGACACGGUCCAGACUCCUACGGGAGGCAGCAGUAGGGAAUCUUCCGCAAUGGGCGAAAGCCUGACGGAGCAACGCCGCGUGAGUGAUGAAGGUCUUCGGAUCGUAAAACUCUGUUGUUAGGGAAGAACAAAUUUGUUAGUAACUGAACAAGUCUUGACGGUACCUAACCAGAAAGCCACGGCUAACUACGUGCCAGCAGCCGCGGUAAUACGUAGGUGGCAAGCGUUAUCCGGAAUUAUUGGGCGUAAAGCGCGCGUAGGCGGUUUCUUAAGUCUGAUGUGAAAGCCCACGGCUCAACCGUGGAGGGUCAUUGGAAACUGGGAAACUUGAGUGCAGAAGAGGAGAGUGGAAUUCCAUGUGUAGCGGUGAAAUGCGCAGAGAUAUGGAGGAACACCAGUGGCGAAGGCGGCUCUCUGGUCU
Molecule: ribosomal RNA, 708 nt
Filed under: uncultured bacterium
Lineage: Bacteria
Description: bacterial SSU rRNA
Rfam family: Bacterial small subunit ribosomal RNA
Source: RNAcentral